RNAcentral lists this transfer RNA (58 nucleotides) under Neotoma lepida (desert woodrat). It matches the Rfam family "tRNA", at positions 8 to 63 of the family's 71-position model. From Rfam's summary of the family: Transfer RNA (tRNA) molecules are approximately 80 nucleotides in length. The record is from Rfam by way of RNAcentral. Lineage: Eukaryota; Metazoa; Chordata; Mammalia; Rodentia; Cricetidae.
UGGCUUAGUGGGUAAAGUGCUUGCUUUGCAUGCAAGAAGACCUGGGUUUGAUCCCCAG